ACGGAGGGGGCGAGCGUUGUUCGGAAUUACUGGGCGUAAAGGGCGCGUAGGCGGCCAUGUCAGUUGGGAGUGAAAGCCCCGGGCUCAACCUGGGAACUGCUCUCAAUACUGCGUGGCUUGAGAACGGGAGAGGGUAGUGGAAUUCCCAGUGUAGAGGUGAAAUUCGUAGAUAUUGGGAAGAACACCAGUGGCGAAGGCGGCUACCUGGCCCGUUUCUGACGCUGAGGCGCGAAAGCGUGGGGAGCAAACAGG
This 252-nucleotide ribosomal RNA is filed under the name uncultured bacterium. Its description in RNAcentral is "partial 16S ribosomal RNA". It matches the Rfam family "Bacterial small subunit ribosomal RNA", at positions 525 to 776 of the family's 1533-position model. The record is from RNAcentral.